RNAcentral lists this long non-coding RNA (2462 nucleotides) under Sus scrofa (pig). RNAcentral describes it as "lncRNA (ENSSSCG00060000351.1)". The record is from RNAcentral. Lineage: Eukaryota; Metazoa; Chordata; Mammalia; Artiodactyla; Suidae.
CUUAGAUAAAUAGCUACUCUGUGUGCUCUCCCACAUGUUGCACUGCAGUUCUAACUAUAAACCUCAUACCAGUUUUUAUAGUCUUUGCCUCUGAAACAUUCUUGCUUUCAACAGAGGGCAAGAAUCAGGGCAGUUUUUCUUUCAGCUUCUAGUUAGUCUCCUGGCUCACAUUCUUGGUUUUCACUCAGGCUGCCCAGGUUCAAUUCCUGAGCAGAGAAUUAACAUCUCACUUCAAGCCAUCACCCUCUGAGAUCAACCGUAUCUCUAUCAGGAGCCUCUCUACAACACCUCAUCAUUGCCACCCUCCCUUCCCCAGGAUUAAGAUGGCAGAACAGAAGGACUGGAGCUCACCUUCUCACAUAAAAACAACAGAAUUACAACCAAACGCUGAACAACCUUCAACCAAAUGGACUGGAAACUUACAAAAAGAUAUCCUACGCUGGAAGACACAGAAGAGGCCACAUCAAGAUGACAGGAGGGGCAGUUACACGAUAGAAGCAAACCCAUACCAGCCAGGUGGGAAGCCCACAAACUGGAGAGUAACUGUGUCACAGAGACUCACCUACAUGAGUGAGAGUUCUGAGGCCCAUGUCAGGCUUCCACGCCUGGGGUUCUGACACUGGGAGAAAGAGGCCGCUGAGCAUCUGGCACUGAAGACCAGUGGGGCUUGUGCACAGGAGCUCCAUGGGACUGGGGGAAACGGAGACCCCGUUCUGAAAGGUGCACACGGGCCUUCAUGUGCACUGGGUCCCAGGGCAGGGCGGAGUCUCUGAGGGAGUCUGGGUCGGACCUGACUGCAGUUCUUGGAGGACCUCCUUGGAAAACAAGGGGUGACUGUGGCUUGUUGUGGGGGAAGGACAUUGGAAGCAAGGGUCUAAGGAGUAUUCCUCAGCUUGUGUUCCUCUAGAGGUGGCCAUUUUGGGAGAAUCUGGGCCCACCCAUCAGUGCUGAGAAGCCCCAGGCCAAACAAUAAUAAUCCAGGUGGGAUCACAGCCCCACCCAUCAGUAAACAGGCUGCCUACAGACCCCCCAGGCACACAGCUGCCUCUGAUUUCACCCAGAGACAAAGCCCCACCCACCAGAGGGAUGGGAAUCAGCUCUACCUACCAGUGGGCAGGCACCAGUCCCUCCCAUCAGGAAGCCUAGAGCAAGCCCCUGUACCAACUUCAGCCACAAGGGUGGCAGACACCAGAAGAGAGGCUGCAACUCUAUUGCCUGCAAAAAGGACACCACACCAAAAACCCAUAAAAAUGAAAAGGUAGAGAACUAUAACUCAGAUAAGGGAACAAGAAAAAAAAACAGAAAAACAGCCAAGUGAUCUGGAGAUUAUCAGCCUCCAGGAAAAAGACUUUAGACUGAUCAUGCUGAAGAUGAUGGAAGACACUGGAAAUAAACUGGAGGCAAAGAUUGAUAAUUUACAGAAAACACUGAGUAAAGAAAUACAAGAUUUAAGACUUAAGCAGAGAUGCAAAAUACAAUAACUGAAAUAAAAAAUUAAUUAGAAUCAGCCAACAGCAGAAUACAGGAGGCAGAACGAAUAAGUGAGGUAGAGGACAGACUAGUGGAAAUCACUGAUGUGGAACAGAAAAGAGAAAAAAGAUUGAAAAGAAAUGAAGACAGUCUCAAAGAACUCUGGGAUAAGGUUAAACACACCAACAUCCAUAUUAUAGGGGUGCCAGAAAGAGGAGAGAGAGAGAAAGGGACAGAAAAAAUAUUCAAAGAGAUAAUAGCUGAAAACCUGCCUAACAUGGGAAAGGAACCACUCACACAAAUCCAGGAAGCACAACAAGUACCAUAUAAAAUAAAGCCAAGGAGGAACACCCCAAGAAACAUAUUAAUCAAACUGACCAAAAUAAAAGACAAAGAGAAAACACUGAAAGCAGCUAGGGAAAAGAAACAACACACAAGGGAACCCCAAUAAGGUUAUCGGCAGAUUUUUUCAGCAGAAACUCUGCAGGCCAGAAGGAAGUGACCUGAUAUACCUAACGUGAUGAAAGGAAAAAACCUCCAACCAAUAUUACUUUACCCAGUAAGGCUCUCAUUCAGAUUUGAAAGAAAAAUCAAAAGCUAAGAGAAUUGAGCCAACACUAAACCAGCUUUACGACAAAUACUAAAGGAACGUCUCUAGGCAGAAAAGAAAAGGCCACAACCAGAAGUAAAAAUACCACAAAUGACAAGGCUCACCAGUAAAGGCAUAUAUACAGUAAAGGUAGGAAAUCAUCCACACGCAAAUACACUACCCAAAUCAGAAAUCAUGAGGAGAGUACAAAUGCAGGACACUGGAGGGGCAUUUGCAAUUAAGAGACCAACAACUUAAAACAAUCUCGUAUAUAUAUAUAUAUAGACUCCUAUAUCAAAACUUCAGGGUAACUGCAAACCAAAAAUCUACAAUUUAUACACAGACAAAUAAGAAUUAUCAAUUCAAAUACAACACUAAAGAUGGUCAUCAAACCACAGGAGGA